This is a long non-coding RNA of Lolium rigidum, 2469 nucleotides long. RefSeq lists it as uncharacterized. The transcript is spliced from 9 exons. Lineage: Eukaryota; Viridiplantae; Streptophyta; Magnoliopsida; Poales; Poaceae. The record is from RefSeq and is a predicted model, not a curated record.
CCGACCAGAGGCCACGGCCGACCUAUACAGCGACGGAAGGGCAGGAGCCGAGGCAAGAAGCGGCGUUGGAGAUGGAGGAUCGCCUCCGCAUCUUGGUUUCGUCGGGAUUUGCCGGCCGGCCGGAGGCCUCGGCUUGCAGGACGACAACGAGAUCGACGAGGAAGGGAGAGGUGGCGGGACGUGAAUCGGCGUGAGGUCGAGAGGGCAGGAGACCAUGGCGGUUUCCACACUUGCCCUGCACUGAUGUUGAUGGUGAAGCUGGAAAUGGUUGUCCCCUGAUUGGUGAGUUUGGAGGCGACGAUGGCCCGUGUUGCGCUGGAGAUGGAGGAUCCCCUACACAACUUAGUUUUAUUUAUCCACGUCAAGCUCACUCGUAAAGGAGAGAGGAGGUGGAGCAGCGUAGGGAGGAAGAGGUGAACCGGAAGAUCAUUUGUGGAUUGAUGUUCUGAAUUUGUGUAAUGGUUCUUUUUUUAUCUGGUCUACAAGGACGUGUGGCUCAUGGCGACACUGGAUCCAGUGGUCAGCAUGGUUAUCGCCGUCAGCGGUUCUCCUUGUCUUCAGUGUCAUAUGAGUGCAUUAAAAGGAUCAAGAAUUGGAUCAGUCAAACUAAUACUCAGAGUAACAUCAUUGUGGAAGAGAAGGGAGAAAAUUAAAGUUCUGCAUCAGCAAAUAUUUAUCGAGUCGGAGCACUUUCGAAAGAUCUUCAGAUGUUAGGCCUAUCAAGAAUAAUAUCUCAAUUAUCAAAGAUCUUUGAGAACUAAUACUUCAUCUAUAAUAGGAUCUCAAUAAUUGACCAUGGUUUGGCUUUUGGCUGGUAACAACGUCAGUGAGGUAGAUGUCCUUCACCCCUUUCUGAAGCUAAAGGUUCCAGACUUGUGCCACAACAAUCUCUGGGAUGAGGAGGAUGUAAAGAGGGAGAUGAAGCGGUAAGAUGAAUCAUGCGAGAGAAAGAAGGAGAGACCUCCAGCGAUACUAACGCGUGCAGGUGUUUCAGUAGCCACCUUGGCUCCACCUCUAGGAGCCAAGUCUCCACUUCCACACCACACCCUUGUAUCUUUAUUCAUCUCUGCCUCUUGAAUAAGUUUCCUGUAUGUCCGAUUCAUAAGAUCACCAUUCAUAAAUGUUGCAUCCAUUUUUGCUAGAAAACAGGCAUGGAAAUUUAUUCAUGGUGACCGCGCGGUGGCGGCCAUGAUCGAACCCUAGCAGCAGAAAAUACUUCUUCGUUUGCUGGUUUAAAUCAUCAAAGAUUAAAUCGUAUCUUUUGUAGUAAUAUUUGGAUCUGAGUAUUCUGAAUAUGCACAUCUGGUCAUGUGAGUACUCUGAAUACAUGCACAUUCCAUUAAGUGCUUUGUUCUUUAAAUUAGUGCAGAUUUUUAAAUAGCUUUCAAAACAAACCAUGGCGACAAGUGGAAUAUUUAUGCUCCAUCUAGCUGCUUGAGAUUUUGCAAUUGAGGUACCAACAUAUUAAGUAGAGAAAUUUCAUAUGUGUAUAGCCAUGAUCUCUACCCCAGCAGCAGAAAAAAACUUCACCGUUUGCUGGUUUAAAUCAUCCAAGAUUAAAUUGUAUCUUUCGUAGUAAUAUUUGGAGCUGAGUAUUCUGAAUAUGCACAUCUGGUCGAGUGACUACUCUGAAUAUGUGCACAUUCGAUUCACUGCUUUGUUCUUUAAAUUAGUGCAGAUUUUUAAAUAGCUUUCAAAAUAAACCAUGGUGAAAACUGGAAUAUUUAUGCUCCAUCUAGCUGUUUGCGAUUUUGCAAUUAAGGCAUGAAGCAAAACUUGAGCAAAGAAACACGUGCUACCAACUGAUCAAUGGCUUUGCCAACGCGGCGAUAAGAUGAACGAGCAGUUGCCUCUGGGUUUGUUGUGUGUUUGGUCUGACCUACUGAAGCAAUUCUCUGUUUUCUCUAAUUUCAACUAUUUCCUCUCAUGUGGUAGUUUCUGUCUGCGCGAGAAUUUGCUACCCUGCCGGUUAUUGAAACGUUUUGUAUGAGGUAAUAUUUUAAAUCAGCUACUCUCAGUGCAUGUUGCCGUUAUUAAAAACGUGGCCGGCUGGGCAUUCAAAACAUGUGUGAGCAAAUUAUCCCUAGGGAAAAGUAGUGUUGCCUAUAGAACCCCAAAUCUAUAUAUCGGAAUGAAUGCACCAAGGGAGCAAUGCGGAGGCAUGUAGCAACCUGAUGAUGGAGAAAUGUAAAAAAUUCAGUAGACAUGGUUCACAUGAGUUCAAAACAUUAUUUUCGUCAGGAGGUAUGAUAUUCACAGGAGCCUAUGAGGCGUUAUUACAUAUUUUCAGAGAUGAUCUACUGAAUGCCAUCUUUAAUAAUUCAUUACGUUGUCAGGUCACAAUGUUAGUAGCUGUGCUUGAAUUCGUGCUAUUCCACAAGACAUGUAACAGACAUUUCUGAUAGGUCAUCACUGUAGAUGUUGCCUAUUGUAUGCUUAAUAUCAUAUUGGUGUCAACAAUUGGUUUAA